AGGGUUUGAUUCUGGCUCAGAACGAACGCUGGCGGCAGGCCUAACACAUGCAAGCCGAGCGCGCCUUCGGGCGAGCGGCGGACGGGUUAGUAACGCGUGGGAACGUGCCCAGAUCUACGGAAUAGCCACUGGAAACGGUGAGUAAUACCGUAUACGCCCUUCGGGGGAAAGAUUUAUCGGAUUUGGAUCGGCCCGCGUUAGAUUAGGUAGUUGGUGGGGUAACGGCCUACCAAGCCUACGAUCUAUAGCUGGUUUUAGAGGAUGAUCAGCAACACUGGGACUGAGACACGGCCCAGACUCCUACGGGAGGCAGCAGUGGGGAAUCUUGGACAAUGGGGGCAACCCUGAUCCAGCCAUGCCGCGUGAGUGAAGAAGGCCCUAGGGUCGUAAAACUCUUUCGCCUGUGAUGAUAAUGACAGUAGCAGGUAAAGAAACCCCGGCUAACUCCGUGCCAGCCGCCGCGGUAAUUC
This 470-nucleotide ribosomal RNA is filed under the name uncultured bacterium. RNAcentral describes it as "bacterial SSU rRNA". It matches the Rfam family "Bacterial small subunit ribosomal RNA", at positions 8 to 526 of the family's 1533-position model. The record is from RNAcentral.